Molecule: transfer-messenger RNA, 353 nt
Filed under: Candidatus Cloacimonadota bacterium
Lineage: Bacteria; Pseudomonadati; Candidatus Cloacimonadota
Also listed under: 1 other name
Rfam family: transfer-messenger RNA
About the family: Bacterial tmRNA, also known as 10Sa RNA or SsrA, is named for its dual tRNA and mRNA-like properties. Its role is to liberate the mRNA from a stalled ribosome.
Source: RNAcentral
GGGGGCGUAAAGGUUUCGACGGGAUAAUUGAAGUAUUGACUGCAUGUAGAGGAUCCUCGUUCGCCUCUAUAAAAAACGGGGAAAAUAAAUAUAAAAGCAAAAACAAAUUUUGCACCCUUAGCAGCGUAAGCUAGCUAAGCAUCCCACUUCGGAUCACGGGCCGGAGACCGGGGUGUAAUUUACCGUGAAAAACCGAUGGUCAAAGCUUUGAGGCCAAAGGUCACUUAUGAAGCUACUGAUACCGUACCCGGCUUACAGGGGACAGUAAAGGGAAAUUAAAGAGUAAGCUACGCAUGUAGACGUCGGCAUGGAUAUUGUUUCGGACGAGGGUUCAAUUCCCUCCGCCUCCACCA